Molecule: ribosomal RNA, 468 nt
Filed under: uncultured bacterium
Lineage: Bacteria
Description: partial 16S ribosomal RNA
Rfam family: Bacterial small subunit ribosomal RNA
Source: RNAcentral
GACGAACGCUGGCGGCGUGCUUAACACAUGCAAGUCGAACGGAAAGGCCCUGCUUUUGUGGGGUGCUCGAGUGGCGAACGGGUGAGUAACACGUGAGUAACCUGCCCUUGACUUUGGGAUAACUUCAGGAAACUGGGGCUAAUACCGGAUAGGAGCUCCUGCUGCAUGGUGGGGGUUGGAAAGUUUCGGCGGUAGGGGAUGGACUCGCGGCUUAUCAGCUUGUUGGUGGGGUAGUGGCUUACCAAGGCUUUGACGGGUAGCCGGCCUUAGAGGGUGACCGGCCACAAUGGGACUGAGAGACGCCCCAGACUCCUACGUGCGGCAGCAGUGGAGAGUAUUGCACAAUGGGCGGAAGCCUGAGACGGCAGCGCCGCGUGCGUGAUGACGGCCUUCGGGUUGUAAACCGCUUUCGCCUUUGACGAAGCGUGAUUGACGGUAAUUGGUAAAGAAGCACCGGCUAACUACGUG